UACGGGGGGGGCAAGCGUUGUUCGGAAUUACUGGGCGUAAAGGGCUCGCAGGCGGCCAACUAAGUCAGACGUGAAAUCCCUCGGCUUAACCGGGGAACUGCGUCUGAUACUGGAUGGCUUGAGGUUGGGAGAGGGAUGCGGAAUUCCAGGUGUAGCGGUGAAAUGCGUAGAUAUCUGGAGGAAUACCGGUGGCGAAGGCGGCCAUCUGGACCAGCACUGACGCUGAGGCACGAAAGCGUGGGGAGCAAACAGG
Molecule: ribosomal RNA, 253 nt
Filed under: uncultured bacterium
Lineage: Bacteria
Description: partial 16S ribosomal RNA
Rfam family: Bacterial small subunit ribosomal RNA
Source: RNAcentral